UACGGAGGAUGCGAGCGUUAUCCGGAUUUAUUGGGUUUAAAGGGUGCGUAGGCGGAUCGUUAAGUCAGUGGUCAAAUUGAGGGGCUCAACCCCUUCCCGCCAUUGAAACUGGCGAUCUUGAGUGGAAGAGAAGUAUGCGGAAUGCGUGGUGUAGCGGUGAGAUGCAUAGAUAUCACGCAGAACCCCGAUUGCGAAGGCAGCAUGCCGGCUUCCGACUGACGCUGAAGCACGAAAGCGUGGGGAUCGAACAGG
RNAcentral lists this ribosomal RNA (252 nucleotides) under uncultured bacterium. RNAcentral describes it as "partial 16S ribosomal RNA". It matches the Rfam family "Bacterial small subunit ribosomal RNA", at positions 524 to 776 of the family's 1533-position model. The record is from RNAcentral.